GCGCCAAAUAUAUGGCGUUGGCGGAAGGGCCGGC
Molecule: small RNA, 34 nt
Filed under: Bombyx mori (domestic silkworm)
Lineage: Eukaryota; Metazoa; Arthropoda; Insecta; Lepidoptera; Bombycidae
Description: ovarian small RNA-16875
Source: RNAcentral